CCUACGGGAGGCAGCAGUAGGGAAUCUUGCGCAAUGGGCGAAAGCCUGACGCAGCCAUGCCGCGUGAAUGAUGAAGGUCUUAGGAUUGUAAAAUUCUUUCACCGGGGAAGAUAAUGACGGUACCCGGAGAAGAAGCCCCGGCUAACUUCGUGCCAGCAGCCGCGGUAAUACGAAGGGGGGCUAGCGUUGCUCGGAAUUACUGGGCGUAAAGGGCGCGUAGGCGGAUAGUUUAGUCAGAGGUGAAAGCCCAGGGCUCAACCUUGGAAUUGCCUUUGAUACUGGCUAUCUUGAGUUCGGGAGAGGUGAGUGGAAUGCCGAGUGUAGAGGUGAAAUUCGUAGAUAUUCGGCGGAACACCAGUGGCGAAGGCGACUCACUGGCCCGAUACUGACGCUGAGGCGCGAAAGCGUGGGGAGCAAACAGGAUUAGAUACCCUGGUAGUCCACGCUGUAAACGAUGAGUGCUAGUUGUCGGCAUGCAUGCAUGUCGGUGUACGCGAGCUACGACAUUAAGUACACCUCCGCCGUCGGGGUAGGUACGGUACGGCGAAGAAGUUAAAACGUUAAAACGUUAGUAAGUUAGUACGGUCGUCGAGACGUGCCGACGGACGACCGACCGACGGGAGGUUAGG
Molecule: ribosomal RNA, 629 nt
Filed under: uncultured bacterium
Lineage: Bacteria
Description: bacterial SSU rRNA
Rfam family: Bacterial small subunit ribosomal RNA (bases 1-520)
Source: RNAcentral